This 77-nucleotide transfer RNA is filed under the name Actinomycetes bacterium. Its description in RNAcentral is "Actinobacteria bacterium tRNA-Val". Lineage: Bacteria; Bacillati; Actinomycetota; Actinomycetes. The record is from RNAcentral.
GACGCGUGGCGCAAUCGGAAGCACACCUGCUCGACCCGCAGGCGGUUGGAGGUUCGAGUCCUCCCGACCCGUCACCG